This is a long non-coding RNA of Ceratitis capitata (Mediterranean fruit fly), 691 nucleotides long. RefSeq lists it as uncharacterized. The record is from RefSeq and is a predicted model, not a curated record. NCBI's taxonomy places the organism in Eukaryota, Metazoa, Arthropoda, Insecta, Diptera, Tephritidae. The transcript has 3 exons.
ACACGGUGAAGCUGAGAAAUAAAAAAAAUUCAAGGUGAUGAGCACACAAAAUUAAAAAGGAAAGUAAGACAAAGAUCGGAUGGAACCAAACAUUCGAUUCUCGGCUGAUAUCUAUUCUAGGUCAACAGAUCGGUCAAAAAUGGAAAGUCUGUUUUAUAUGUGUGUCUAGAGUUUUUGGUCGAUUGCACUUGAGAUCAUUAAGUUUAAGAAGGCUGACUAAGCAGCUGUUGUUGGUCUAUUAAAGCCAACACUUCCUUCCAUCAACAACACACCUAAAAACAUUUUAAGCAAAAUUAUAUAUCUCCAGACGCCAGCAGCGUUAGAAUGAAUCCAACAAGUGAUGGCAGCCGGUAAACUAAUACCAACUUUAAACAAAAACAACAACAAUAAUAAUAACAAAAACAAUAGAACGUAAACUAAUAUUAAGUUUAAUAAAAACAAUAAACGUUCACAACAAUGUUGGUGGCAGGCAGAAAAUAAUUUGUUUAUUGCCAAAAUCGUGGCAUCAACAGCUAUGCUGGAUAAUUGCGCCGUUGGCAUUAAAAGUGUGCGAUGGUUUCAUAAAAUUACCGUUGCUACCGGCUAAUAGCACUUCGUUUGUAAGAACAGCAGCAGCAAUAGCAACAACAACAGCAGUAAUAGCAACAACAACAGCAACAAGGCUAAAUCAAUUGUCUGGUGUGAGAAACGG